GCAGCAGUCUUUCUAUGUUUUUCCACUCUAACGAAGUUUCUCGAUGACCCGAAGCAAUGACCAACUCAAUUCUCUCCGGGACCGUGGUCGUCCGUCUCCGGUUUGCCGGCCGGUACCCGCUACCUGCUUUCUUUUUGAUCUUGCGCCCACGGCUGGGGCUCAGAGUCUCGGACUUUAUCGCCCGAAUCUUUCUAUCAGUUUCUUUCUGUCUGUGGGACUGCCCGCCAGCAGCAGAGGCGGUUCGAUUCCCCACCACUAAAAAGAGCGAUUGAAAAUCUCGAGAACCUAAACAAAAAUGCAG
This 301-nucleotide long non-coding RNA is filed under the name Capsicum annuum. Its description in RNAcentral is "long non-coding RNA (CANN_LNC001391)". The record is from RNAcentral. Lineage: Eukaryota; Viridiplantae; Streptophyta; Magnoliopsida; Solanales; Solanaceae.